UACAGAGGCCUCGAGCGUUAAUCGGAAUCACUGGGCUUAAAGGGUGCGUAGGCGGAGCGAUAAGUGCCUUGUGAAAUCCCAUGGCUUAACCAUGGAAUUGCUCGGUAGACUAUCGUUCUUGAGGUAGGUAGAGGUCACUGGAACUCUAGGUGGAGCGGUGAAAUGCGUAGAUAUCUAGAGGAACGCCGAUGGUGAAGACAGGUGACUGGGCCUAUUCUGACGCUGAUGCACGAAAGCGUGGGGAGCAAACGGG
This 253-nucleotide ribosomal RNA is filed under the name uncultured bacterium. RNAcentral describes it as "partial 16S ribosomal RNA". It matches the Rfam family "Bacterial small subunit ribosomal RNA", at positions 524 to 776 of the family's 1533-position model. The record is from RNAcentral.